UGAACGCUGGCGGCGUGCUUAACACAUGCAAGUCGUACGAGAACGCUCUAGCUUGCUAGGGCAAGUAAAGUGGCGCACGGGUGAGUAACGCGUGGGUAAUCUACCUUCGAAUUGGGGAUAACGUUGCGAAAGCGACGCUAAUACCGAAUAACAUCCAUUAAUCUUAGGGUUUUUGGAUCAAAGAUGGCCUCUACUUGUAAGCUAUUGUUUGAAGAUGAGCCCGCGUACCAUUAGCUUGUUGGUGGGGUAACGGCCUACCAAGGCAGCGAUGGUUAGCUGGUCUGAGAGGAUGAUCAGCCACACUGGAACUGACACACGGUCCAGACUCCUACGGGAGGCAGCAGUGAGGAAUUUUGCGCAAUGGGCGAAAGCCUGACGCAGCAACGCCGCGUGAGUGAUGAAGGCUUUCGGGUCGUAAAGCUCUGUCAAGUGGGAAGAACCUAUAUAAUGCCAAUACCAUUGUAUACUGACGGUACCACUGAAGGAAGCACCGGCUAACUCC
This 502-nucleotide ribosomal RNA is filed under the name uncultured bacterium. Its description in RNAcentral is "bacterial SSU rRNA". It matches the Rfam family "Bacterial small subunit ribosomal RNA", at positions 30 to 504 of the family's 1533-position model. The record is from RNAcentral.